This 2738-nucleotide long non-coding RNA is filed under the name Coffea arabica (coffee). RNAcentral's name for it is "long non-coding RNA (CARA_LNC004337)". The record is from RNAcentral. Lineage: Eukaryota; Viridiplantae; Streptophyta; Magnoliopsida; Gentianales; Rubiaceae.
UUCUCUCCACUUUCAUUACGAAAUCUGAUUUCACUCUCUCUCCUCUCUUCACUCUCUAUUUGGCCGAAACUAGGAAGAAAAAAAGGGAAGAAAAAAAACCUAGCCAAAAUCCUCACAACCUUGCUUCAAUCCACUUCCAAAUUUCAUCAUCCAUUAGAGGGCUUUGAUCCUAGCUUGGAAAAGGGGGCUGUUCAUCGGUUUUCUUGGAGGAAUUUCGGUCAAAAUUUCUGCCCUAAAGCUGUCCAACUAAGUUCUUGAGGUAACUCACUCACCCACACUUCAAUCUUGCAAAAUUGUAGCUCAAAUGGAGCAAAGGUAGCAUGGGUUUGCAACCUAUGGUAGAAUUUGGGUUGAUUGGUUGAGUAAUUAUUUUCUUGCAAUUUCAUGACAUGCGUGAGGGCUUGAGGAUGCUUAUUGGUGGCUGAUUUGAUGAAUUAACAUGUUUUGGUUGCUGAUAUUGUGCUAUGUUACAUGUAUAUAGAAUGAUUGAUGGAAUGAAGUUGGAAGAAAGUUAGAAAUUUGGAGAAGGUAUUGUCCGAAAUUUCAAGGACUUGCUGCCCUGUUUUGCUUUGAUAUUUUCGUGCAUAAUUUGGCUACAAAUGUGAGUGAUAUAUGUUAUGUUAUGUGUGUGGUGGUUGUCUACAUAAAAAAAUUAGCCAAUUUGGUUGGAUAAAUUUUGAAUUAUGAGCAAAGAGGCAAAACUGGACUAGGUCCAGAAAUUUUCUGACCAGUGAUCUUGUGGAGAUCAUAACGUUUUUCUCGAUGAUCAAAAUUGAGUUCCGUUUGUGGUAUUUGAAAGUAGACUCUUAGAGCUUUAAAAUGGUACUAAGCCCAUUUUCUAGUUCGUCCGAGCGAUUCGUGACGAGUCUUGAAAGUUGACUGCCUGUUUAUUACUAUUCAUCCGAGACUGUCCAGAAAAUCCAUUUUGUUGCUUGAUUUUGAACCACUUAUGUCUGGAUUUUGGAAAUGAUUUCUUCUACACAAAUAUAGCCUUGUAAACCUAGUUUCUAAAGCCACCAACCAUUUUCAAUUUCACUGAGAAUCGAGUGAGAUACAGCCUAAUUAGCGAAGGGCAUUAAAUCUGGAAAAUUCCUGGAAAGGCCAACAGUCCAGGAAUUUUAGCGAAACUUCAACUUUUAUUUCUUGAGCUAGGAACAUCAGAACCGAGUUCCAUUUUUUUGAUUUGAAACCUGGAUUGGAACUUUACCUGCAUAUCAAAUUUCAAAGGCUGGUUUUGAUUCUAUGAUUUUGGCAAAAUUCCAAAGUUAUUGGAAAAACUUGGACUGUUUUGACCUAUCUUCAAUGAAUAAUAAACUUUCUUGGAGAAAUUGACUUGUUUCUGAUUUGAUUCUUGGAAAGUAACCUUCUACAAAGUUGUUAUGCUUUGAAUGAAGUUUCUGACGGUGUAAAAUUUUCUAUUUUUAGACUUUCCAAACUUCCGGACUGAUUUUUUCCAAGAAUAACUCGAAAAGUGAAAAUUUCCAAUUUGGACCUAAAUGUUCUUUUAAGGGCCUAGGUUACAUUUUUACAACUCUUAGAGCAUUUCAAACCUAUUUUCAUGGUGAACUUGAGUUCACCUAUCACUUGAGACCUCAUUUGAAAGUCGGUUCCUUAUGAAUUGAAAUACUUUGGAAACUUGAAUUUUGGAGUCAAAAUUGACUAUUUCUUUUCUUUACACGAAUACUGUAUGGCCUGGAAUUUGAUAUACAAUGCCUUAUUGCAUACCUUCAGGAUCUCAAGAGGAUUUCGAGGAACUCCCGGUGAAGCGUCUUAGAGCUAAUUUCUCAAACUUUGACUUUUGAUACUUGGUGAGUGUCAAGUGCAUGUUUACUUGUACUUCACUUGAGAUUUGUUGCCUACAUGAACUCUACUUGAACUUGUUGUUACAUGAACUAUACUUGUUGAGGGAAGUGUGUACUUUACCGCACUUUAUCUCCUUUACUGGGAUCAAUAUAUGACUUGCUACAUGAAUUACAUGAAACUACUAGAUUUUACAUGUACGUGACCUGAAGUCGAAUGCAGAGAAAGUCUCAUCGACUAAAACUUGAUCUGUUUUUGAAAACCUGACCUGUGGAGACACCUAAACCCAAUGGUUAAACCUUGUAAUCUCGCAGCCAAUCGUGAGGUCUUGGUCGGGAAAACUUGGUAAACCCUGGGACCUGAAACUUGAUCUUUUGAGAUCUUGCUUGGCAUACUUGUAUAGUAUCGCCUUUACAUGCCUGUUGGUUACGGAUCCGAGAGGGUGAAAUGAUGGAUGGAUGGAAGUAAGUAGAGAUCUACAGAUUGGAUAUUUAUUCCGUUGACGGAGUGUCAACCCCUGAUUCGUGGAUCGGGACUAUGGCAAAUAAUCUGGAAAUGAGCUCCGGAGAGGUCCAAUAUUCUUGAAUUGUUUGUAUUUAUGAGUACUUGCCGAUACUUGAAACUACAUGACAAUUACUUUUGAUCACUUGAUCAUAUUACUUGAACUACAUGCGCAUGUUAUAUAUAUGUAUUUUGUUUUUUUUCCUGGCCUCACUGAGCGAUUGCUCACCCCAUUAGUUGUUUUCCUUAACAGGAAUCUGGAUCGGAGAUGUUUUGAAGAGAUCGACUUGUUUUUGAUAUUUUAGAACUUUGGAAAUGAAAUUUAAGGGCUGGUUAUGGACUUGUAUUUUGGAAAUCUGAAUGUAUAUAUUGGAUUCUUGUGUUGUAAGUUUGAAUAUAUCGACGGAAACGAAUUUUAUUUAAUUUGUCCUUUUAGC